Molecule: ribosomal RNA, 505 nt
Filed under: uncultured bacterium
Lineage: Bacteria
Description: partial 16S ribosomal RNA
Rfam family: Bacterial small subunit ribosomal RNA
Source: RNAcentral
GACGAACGCUGGCGGCGUGCCUAAUACAUGCAAGUAGAACGCACAGUUUAUACCGUAGCUUGCUACACCAUAGACUGUGAGUUGCGAACGGGUGAGUAACGCGUAGGUAACCUGCCUGGUAGCGGGGGAUAACUAUUGGAAACGAUAGCUAAUACCGCAUAAUAUUAAUUAUUGCAUGAUAAUUAAUUGAAAGGUGCAAUUGCACCACUACCAGAUGGACCUGCGUUGUAUUAGCUAGUAGGUGAGGUAACGGCUCACCUAGGCGACGAUACAUAGCCGACCGGAGAGGGGGAGCGGCCACACUGGGACUGAGACACGGCCCAGACUCCUACGGGAGGCAGCAGUAGGGAAUCUUCGGCAAUGGACGAAAGUCUGACCGAGCAACGCCGCGUGAGUGAAGAAGGUUUUCGGAUCGUAAAGCUCUGUUGUAAGAGAAGAACGGGUGUGAGAGUGGAAAGUUCACACUGUGACGGUAUCUUACCAGAAAGGGACGGCUAACUACGUG